CAAUAGCGUAUAUUAAAGUUGUUGCAGUUAAAAAGCUCGUAGUUGAAUUUUUGCUUGCCGCCGAUGUCGGAACUUCCGUACGUUCGGCGGCGUGCAUCCUUGGGUGGAACCUGUGUGGCAUUAGGUUGUCGUGCAGGGGAUGCUCAUCGUUUACUGUGAAAAAAUUAGAGUGUUCAAAGCAGGCUUACGCCGUUGAAUCCGUUAGCAUGGAAUAAUAGGAUAGGACCUCGGUUCUAUUUUGUUGGUUUUGAGAGCUGGGGCAGCGAUUGAUAGGGACGGAUGGGGGCGUCCGAACUUUACUGUCAGAGGUGAAAUUCUUAGAUCGGUCAAAGGCGAACUACUGCGAACGCAUUCGCCAAGAAUGUUUUCUUUA
This 373-nucleotide ribosomal RNA is filed under the name uncultured eukaryote. Its description in RNAcentral is "partial 18S ribosomal RNA". It matches the Rfam family "Eukaryotic small subunit ribosomal RNA", at positions 592 to 975 of the family's 1831-position model. The record is from RNAcentral.